UUUUAAAGAUGGGCACGACAUUAGUUUUUUUCCAGUCAUCCGGGACCUCCCCCAAUCGACAUGAGUUUUCAAAGAUAACGGCCAAUGGCUCUGCAAUCACAUCUGCCAGGAGGUUGACGACAACCAGGAUUACUGAAAGUCCCUAGGAGCAUGGCAGUUCUACAAUGAAGUCCAUUGAUAUAUAGUAGACCAUGGCUGUAGCGGUAAGGAAAGAGGCUGGAGGAGACCUAGGCGUGUUGAUUGUGGGUUUUUGGUAUGGGCACAGAGAUCGCAGAUAAUCCUUGAUGUAAUCUUGUAGGCUUGGCCACCAGAAGCUCUUCAAGACCACAUUCCAGGUCUUGAACUGGCCAAAAUUCACCCUCCCGCAGGGAAUCAUGGCAUAGUGUCAAUAGUUGAUGCCUAGGUUGUUCCUCCAGAACACAGAUACAACCCUUGCAACAAAGGAGGCUAUUCUGUAGUCUGAUCCCUGAGUUGCGUCAGGUAUCCAUGUUGUUCAGAGCCUAGCAGAGCUGGAUUACAAACAGGUCAUCAGGGAGAAGGAAGCGUAUGGAGAACGUUGGACUGUUGUCGAUUGUCCUAUUAACAAAGUUGGACACCUUGAGCAUGGUGGCAGAGGGUUCUUCACCAGGUUUGAGAUAUUCAUCUUUAUGAGAUAGGGCAACAGCCUUCCCUUUUCUCUUCCACGGGCGAUAGGUCACAGCAAAGUGAAAAAGAGGGACCAGUGGAUUGGUGUUGGUUAAGGUGUCUAGCAAUCCAUAGAUACUCUAGGUUUUUAUGGUCCAUGGGAAUCCAGCUUCUUCUAGGAAGUGGUGCCACUCCUUGAAAGCUGCCUUAAUAGCUAGUAGCUCCAUGUCCCAAAGAUGUUUUUUUACACCAGCAUUAGUUUGAGAGUAAAAGGCACAGGGAUAAAAUAGAUUGCGGGGGCCUUCAUGUUGAGAUAAUACUGUACCUAUGGUGUCGGCCUCAAUGCUAAAUGGUUUAGUGAGAUCUGGGUGAAUCAUGAUUGGUAUUGAGGUGAAUGCUGCCUUCUGUCGAUCAAAGGCCUACUGAGCCUCCAUGGACCAGGUAAACCAGGCUGCUACUUGUAGGCACACUCUUAAAAGUGCAGCCAGGCUAGAGAAUCCUUCAAUAAAUGGCCUGUUGAAAUUGGCGAACCCCAGGAAUCACUGGAUCCUGCAUAUAUCCUUGGGCACAGCCCAGUCAGAUAUUGCUGUCCCAUAUGUGGGUCUGUGGGUCCAUGGCGAGUCCCUUGGGUGAGAUGAUAUAUCCCAAGAAUUCCACUGUAUCCUUAUCAAACUCACAUUUCUCGAGCUUUGUAUAGAGGUGGUUUUGGCAGAAUCUCUCUAAGACAGUGUGUGCGUGAUCAUUGUGGAGGUCCUGACUUUCAGAGAAAAUGAGGAUGUCUUUCAAGUAAUUGACAAUAAAUUGGUCCAGCGGUCCAUAAAGAUGUCAUUUAUGAAACGGUGGAAGGUCACAGGGGCAUUGCACUACCCAAAUGGUAUGACCAAAUAUUCGAAGUAGCCAUCCCUGGUACAGAAGGCGCUCUUCCAUUUGUCUCCUUGCAGGAUCCUCACCAAGCUCUAAGUUCCACAGAGGUCCAACUUUGUGAAGACCCCUUGGUAAAGCAGAGUCUUUUGAGCUGCUCAUUAAUAAGUGAUAAAGGGAUACUGGUUUUAGACUGUAAUCUUGUGUGCACUGCUGAGCUCUGAACAAGGCUGGAGGGAGCCGUCUUUCUUUGCCACAGAGAAGCUGUGGGGAUGUGGAGAUAUAAAUGAACCUCUUCUGCAGGUUUUCCUCAAGAUAGGCCCAGAGUGCUGGUAGUUUGGGUUUGGAGUGCAUGUAAAUGCACCUGAAGGGAUCCUCCGCUCCCAGCUGGAAUUGAAUGGGGCAGUUGUGGCUCCAAGGGAGAGGUAGGAUGUCAGAGAUCUUUUUGUCUGACGUGUUGGCAGAAUGCGGAUAUUUAACAUGAAUCUGUGGAGUUGUUUGGGGGGGGUGUUUGCUGGCGUAGCUUUUGAAUCCUUCCUUUGCAUCUCUGAAUUCCUUGGAGGACCAAGUGUGCCACAAAGGGUUACUGGUCCCAGAGCAUCUCUCAUGAAAUAAGUUUGUCGGCAACAUGAAAAAUCAAAGCAUACUGUGCUUUGCUGCCAGUGGACGCGAGGGUCGUGGGUGAUGAGAAAGGGGACGUCAAGGACAACUGAUGAAUGUGGUACACAAAUCUGUCCAAACAUGAGAAUUUCUUGGUGACCUCAAAGGGUAGUUACCUCUAAGGGAGCUGUCUGAUAGGUGAUUGAUUUGGAUGAAAGAGGUGACCCAUCUGUGAACUCCACUAACUCAAAUCUUUGUGCUGUGUGAGGAUACUGUGUGGUCGGGUGAACUCCAGGUCUGUGAAAUUGCCUGAGGCACCCAAGUCCACCAGUGCUUCUUGGUUGAUACCAGGCAUCUCAGGGUGCUGGUGCUGGAGCUGGAGAGGGAGUUGGAUUGGCCAUCACCAGUGGAUGAGAGUUGGAUGGUGUAUGCUGCUGGGAGAGGGGAAGGGCAUCUAUCCAGUCUGGAGCUUCCUGUCAAGGCUGGGGUUUGGUGUUUCUCAACCAAGGUGUAGAUUGGACCUUGGCAGGACAGCUUGGUGCAAAGUUUGUAGAAUAGGCUUGAGGCCUGGCAUCAAUUCUGUGGCCGAGCCUGAUUGACUUGCAUGGGUUAGGGCAGUGGAGAGAGGACUAAUGAUGCGGGGGAUGGGGCAGAGCUGGUGAGAGCCAGGAGGACCACCUUUUUUUCUUGGUGCUGUUCUGUCAGGCAGUUGUUGAUCUUGAUGCAUAGGUUGACUAAGGCAUCCAGGCCAGAAGGGGAGUUUACAUAUGCCAGUUCAUCCUUUAGGCCAAGCCAGAAAUGAUAACACUACAUUAAUAUCCUCAUUUAGGCACAGAGGUAAUAGCACUGGGUGGCCUUCUUCCACUUGAGAUAUACUAUUUAGUGCUAGAACUCUGCUGUGUAUCUAUAGCAACUGGCCAGCACCCCUGUUAGAGCACUUAAAGCACGGUUUCGGCCAUAUGCUUGGAAUUUGCGUCAGCAAAGAUCACUGCCAUAGCUUGAAUGAAGUCCUUAAAUUGUCCCAGAAGCAGGCUUGAUUUUUUUUUUUUUCCAGCAGCAGAGAUGCCCAAGGCAGGGCCCCCCAGUUAGCAGGCAAACAAUCAGACCCACUGAGGUUUGGUCAGUGAGGUACAAUUGUGAAUGUAGAAGAAGUAGGAGCUUGGGUUUGCGGGGGGGGGGGGGAGGAAGCUGACGGUGGUACAGCUUGGGCUUGCAGGACUGCAUUCUGCACCUGCAGGGUGACUGCCAGGGCUUGCAAGGUCUGUAGGGCUCCAGCUGUGUGUUGGAGAGAGAUUGGCCUUUGUAGAAUCCAUGCUCACCAUAUCAGCUCUAGUUCCCUUAGCAUUUAUGCUGGGCUGCUGAAACUGUCAAUGGCUGGGACGUGGGUGGUCAUGUCUAGUGUGACAGGAGUUAGAGCAGGAGUUGGUGGUUGGGAACUUGAGCCCAGGGUCAGAGCUGGAGACAGAAACCCAAGGAUCAGAGGUCAGGAAUCAGAGCUGAGGGUCAGGAUCUGGUUAUCUGAAGUGAGGCAAGGCUGGGUCCAAGGCACGAUUAGGGCUAGGAACAAGUAGGCACAGGAACUAUCACAGCACUAGGCAAAUGCUUUUAGCAGCUGCCAAACUGCUGCUUAAGAGCCAGUCUGCUGACUCUUCCAACCAAUCAGGCCAUGUAGCCAAUCAGGCAGCCUAACUACAGGCCAGCUGUGUUCAUUAGCUUGCCUGGAGACUGGCUCUGCUGCAGGCCCUGGUUCCUGACAGACACAGGACAGGAUUAUCUGGGGAGGCUGAGGCAGGUGGGGGAUGUUUUUGCUUUGCCUUUCUGCACAGAAACCCUGUACGAUAGAUAGCUGAGAAUAGCAUUAGUUCCCAGAUGAAUUGCUUCCCAGUCCUGACCUUUGGCUCCCAAGAGGUAAGCCAUUCCACUGGGAGUGUAGGAGCAACAACCCAGAGAUGGUAGAGGCAGACAGAGAAGGAUCAGGGAAGAGUUGCUCAUAGAGAUGGACAGGAGGAACCAGGAGCAGUUUGAAUUCCUCGGAGCACAGGAGGAUUGGGCUGUUCAUCAGGAAGAAACAUUGAUGAGCCAGUUCCUGCAACUGGAGGAACUUCAUAGGGAAUGGGAGCAUUCCCUAAUGGAGAGGCUCUUUGAACUGGUAGCCAAAUGAGUUCAGGGUCUGCCUGCUGCUGGAGCCACUGAAUCUGUCUGUGACCCUCCAGAUAUCACCCCCCCACCACCACCUCUUCCUCUGGCUGCAGCUGGAGGAUUCUUUUUUAUGGACCCCCCUGAGUGAUUGGGUAGAGAGCCUGCAGGACUCCUGGAACCUCACCCUCACUCAAAAUCCCUUUUAGGGGGAACCUCUUAUUCUCCUGGACUGUGAGCCUAUGGGAGUCCUGGAGCCCCACCCAGUGCCCACCCCAAAGCCUGUGCAGGAGACCUUCCCUGUUUUCCCCAA
This is a long non-coding RNA of Dermochelys coriacea (leatherback sea turtle), 4534 nucleotides long. RefSeq lists it as uncharacterized. Lineage: Eukaryota; Metazoa; Chordata; Testudines; Dermochelyidae. The transcript is spliced from 2 exons. The record is from RefSeq and is a predicted model, not a curated record.